Molecule: ribosomal RNA, 1451 nt
Filed under: uncultured organism
Description: SSU rRNA
Rfam family: Bacterial small subunit ribosomal RNA
Source: RNAcentral
UGAACGCUAGCUACAGGCUUAACACAUGCAAGUCGAGGGGCAGCAUGGUCUUAGCUUGCUAAGGCCGAUGGCGACCGGCGCACGGGUGAGUAACACGUAUCCAACCUGCCGUCUACUCUUGGACAGCCUUCUGAAAGGAAGAUUAAUACAAGAUGGCAUCAUGAGUCCGCAUGUUCACAUGAUUAAAGGUAUUCCGGUAGACGAUGGGGAUGCGUUCCAUUAGAUAGUAGGCGGGGUAACGGCCCACCUAGUCUUCGAUGGAUAGGGGUUCUGAGAGGAAGGUCCCCCACAUUGGAACUGAGACACGGUCCAAACUCCUACGGGAGGCAGCAGUGAGGAAUAUUGGUCAAUGGGCGAGAGCCUGAACCAGCCAAGUAGCGUGAAGGAUGACUGCCCUAUGGGUUGUAAACUUCUUUUAUAAAGGAAUAAAGUCGGGUAUGGAUACCCGUUUGCAUGUACUUUAUGAAUAAGGAUCGGCUAACUCCGUGCCAGCAGCCGCGGUAAUACGGAGGAUCCGAGCGUUAUCCGGAUUUAUUGGGUUUAAAGGGAGCGUAGAUGGAUGUUUAAGUCAGUUGUGAAAGUUUGCGGCUCAACCGUAAAAUUGCAGUUGAUACUGGAUAUCUUGAGUGCAGUUGAGGUAGGCGGAAUUCGUGGUGUAGCGGUGAAAUGCUUAGAUAUCACGAAGAACUCCGAUUGCGAAGGCAGCCUGCUAAGCUGCAACUGACAUUGAGGCUCGAAAGUGUGGGUAUCAAACAGGAUUAGAUACCCUGGUAGUCCACACGGUAAACGAUGAAUACUCGCUGUUUGCGAUAUACAGCGAGCGGCCAAGCGAAAGCGUUAAGUAUUCCACCUGGGGAGUACGCCGGCAACGGUGAAACUCAAAGGAAUUGACGGGGGCCCGCACAAGCGGAGGAACAUGUGGUUUAAUUCGAUGAUACGCGAGGAACCUUACCCGGGCUUAAAUUGCAGAUGAAUUACGGUGAAAGCCGUAAGCCGCAAGGCAUCUGUGAAGGUGCUGCAUGGUUGUCGUCAGCUCGUGCCGUGAGGUGUCGGCUUAAGUGCCAUAACGAGCGCAACCCUUGUUGUCAGUUACUAACAGGUUCCGCUGAGGACUCUGACAAGACUGCCAUCGUAAGAUGUGAGGAAGGUGGGGAUGACGUCAAAUCAGCACGGCCCUUACGUCCGGGGCUACACACGUGUUACAAUGGGGGGUACAGAGGGCCGCUACCACGCGAGUGGAUGCCAAUCCCCAAAACCUCUCUCAGUUCGGACUGGAGUCUGCAACCCGACUCCACGAAGCUGGAUUCGCUAGUAAUCGCGCAUCAGCCACGGCGCGGUGAAUACGUUCCCGGGCCUUGUACACACCGCCCGUCAAGCCAUGGGAGCCGGGGGUACCUGAAGUGCGUAACCGCGAGGAGCGCCCUAGGGUAAAACUGGUGACUGGGGCUAAG